Molecule: ribosomal RNA, 1001 nt
Filed under: Micrococcus antarcticus
Lineage: Bacteria; Bacillati; Actinomycetota; Actinomycetes; Micrococcales; Micrococcaceae
Description: bacterial SSU rRNA
Rfam family: Bacterial small subunit ribosomal RNA
Source: RNAcentral
UGCAAGUCGAACGAUGAAGCCCAGCUUGCUGGGUGGAUUAGUGGCGAACGGGUGAGUAACACGUGAGUAACCUGCCCUUGACUCUAGGAUAAGCCCGGGAAACUGGGUCUAAUACUGGAUAGGAACGUCUACCGCAUGGUGGGUGUUGGAAAGAAUUUCGGUCAUGGAUGGACUCGCGGCCUAUCAGCUUGUUGGUGAGGUAAUGGCUCACCAAGGCGACGACGGGUAGCCGGCCUGAGAGGGUGACCGGCCACACUGGGACUGAGACACGGCCCAGACUCCUACGGGAGGCAGCAGUGGGGAAUAUUGCACAAUGGGCGAAAGCCUGAUGCAGCGACGCCGCGUGAGGGAUGACGGCCUUCGGGUUGUAAACCUCUUUCAGUAGGGAAGAAGCGAAAGUGACGGUACCUGCAGAAGAAGCACCGGCUAACUACGUGCCAGCAGCCGCGGUAAUACGUAGGGUGCGAGCGUUAUCCGGAAUUAUUGGGCGUAAAGAGCUCGUAGGCGGUUUGUCGCGUCUGUCGUGAAAGUCCGGGGCUUAACCCCGGAUCUGCGGUGGGUACGGGCAGACUAGAGUGCAGUAGGGGAGACUGGAAUUCCUGGUGUAGCGGUGGAAUGCGCAGAUAUCAGGAGGAACACCGAUGGCGAAGGCAGGUCUCUGGGCUGUAACUGACGCUGAGGAGCGAAAGCAUGGGGAGCGAACAGGAUUAGAUACCCUGGUAGUCCAUGCCGUAAACGUUGGGCACUAGGUGUGGGGAACAUUCCACGUUUUCCGCGCCGCAGCUAACGCAUUAAGUGCCCCGCCUGGGGAGUACGGCCGCAAGGCUAAAACUCAAAGGAAUUGACGGGGGCCCGCACAAGCGGCGGAGCAUGCGGAUUAAUUCGAUGCAACGCGAAGAACCUUACCAAGGCUUGACAUGUUCUCGAUCGCCGUAGAGAUACGGUUUCCCCUUUGGGGCGGGUUCACAGGUGGUGCAUGGUUGUCGUCAGCUCGUGUCGUG